RNAcentral lists this ribosomal RNA (560 nucleotides) under uncultured archaeon. RNAcentral describes it as "bacterial SSU rRNA". It matches the Rfam family "Archaeal small subunit ribosomal RNA", at positions 333 to 897 of the family's 1478-position model. The record is from RNAcentral.
CACCAGGCGCGAAAACUUUACAAUGCCGGCAACGGCGAUAAGGGAACCUCGAGUGCCAGGUUACAAAUCUGGCUGUCGUGAUGCCUAAAAAGCAUUGCAUAGCAAGGGCCGGGCAAGACCGGUGCCAGCCGCCGCGGUAACACCGGCGGCUCGAGUGGUAACCGUUAUUAUUGGGUCUAAAGGGUCUGUAGCCGGCCGGGUAAGUCUCUUGGGAAAUCUGGCAGCUUAACUGUCAGGCUUUCAGGAGAUACUGCCUGGCUCGAGGCCGGGAGAGGUGAGAGGUACUUCAGGGGUAGGGGUGAAAUCUUGUAAUCCUUGAAGGACCACCAGUGGCGAAGGCGUCUCACCAGAACGGACCUGACGGCAAGGGACGAAAGCUAGGGGCACGAACCGGAUUAGAUACCCGGGUAGUCCUAGCCGUAAACGAUACUCGCUAGGUGUCGGCCACGGUGCGACCGUGGUCGGUGCCGUAGGGAAGCCGUGAAGCGAGCCACCUGGGAAGUACGGCCGCAAGGCUGAAACUUAAAGGAAUUGGCGGGGGAGCACAAGGGCGAAUCGCG